AAAAGGACCUGGCAGGGGAGACACCAUGAUCAGGAAGGUGGUAUUCCCAGGGCGAGGAUCACCCAUUGCACUGCGGAUGUGCUGACCCCUGCAAUUUGCCAAAUGCGGGAAACUCAACUGCAUAAUUUGUGGUAGUAGGGGACUGUGUUUGCACGCUCCCGUU
Echinops telfairi (small Madagascar hedgehog) is the source of this 163-nucleotide small nuclear RNA. RefSeq annotates it as U1 spliceosomal RNA. The record is from RefSeq and is a predicted model, not a curated record. NCBI's taxonomy places the organism in Eukaryota, Metazoa, Chordata, Mammalia, Afrosoricida, Tenrecidae. The transcript has a single exon.